RNAcentral lists this long non-coding RNA (422 nucleotides) under Nicotiana benthamiana. Its description in RNAcentral is "long non-coding RNA (NBEN_LNC002356)". Lineage: Eukaryota; Viridiplantae; Streptophyta; Magnoliopsida; Solanales; Solanaceae. The record is from RNAcentral.
GGAUCUAAGCUAUAUACACUGACAGUUAACUUUUUUUUAAUAUUAUUAGGUUGUAGCUUAACUUGUGAUUGAAAAUUUAUUCUAUAAUUACCUUUUGUAAUAUUUUUGUACCGUCGUUAGUGCACAUAACUUAAACUUUUUGAAAAAUGAUGUCAUUCCCUAAUUUUUUGUUGUGGUGGUUAUUUGAGAGCAAUAAUCAAUUUUCGCUCGAAUCAUUUAUAUGUCAGUAUUUUUGCUGUCAGGUUUUAAUGUGCUAAACGACAUAUUAUAUUGGUGAUAGUGGCAGAAAUAUUUGAAGGGAUGAUUGAAAUGUUAGGUUAAUGGAGAAAUCAUCACAUAACAACAACAACAACAACAACUACCCAGUAUAUUCCCACCAGGUGGGAGUAUGGGGAGGGUAAUAUGUAGACAAGCCUUACCCC